UUGAAAGUCCUUUGUAACCUAACUCUUUCCUACCUUUCCAGUUUUCUUACACUUGCAUGUAUUUUGCAGUCUUCUCAAUUUUUCUGGCAUAAGAAAUUCCAAGUCUGGGCAUUUUCACUGAGUAUCCCCCAUGCUUGGAAUGUUCUCUCUCCUUGCCUUCAUUUCCUGGUUUCUCAUUUCACCUUCCUCAAGAAUCUUUUCCCAGCCUUCCUCCAUGUUAGUAUCUUCCCUCUGUUGAUUAUCUUGAAUUUAUUCUGGAUAUAUCUUGUUCGUAUGUUUGUUUGCAUGUUGUCUCCUCUUUUAGAUUGUGAGUUCCUUGAGAACGAGAACUUUCUUUUGCCUUUGUAUAUGUUAGCAUAGUACUAGUCACAUAAUAGACUCUCAAUAAGUGCUUGUCGACUUAAAUCUACAUUUUCCAAGAUUUGUUCUAACCAUUUCAGUGCUUUGAAACCAGUGUUCCAGUUGCUACUUUGAAUGACGUCAAUGGAUCCAUCUGUUUCUUUAAAGAAAAAUCUAUUUUCCGGAUAGAUUAGCAUAGAUCAAAAACUUUCCUUAACUUGUGUACUAGGACAAACUAGGACUUCACUGAAAAUUCUGGGGACUGAAGAUGUUCUCUCUGUGACUGACUAGUUGGAGGCGAGGUGAAAAAGUGUUAAGGCAAGAUAUACUUAUUAAGGAUUUAUUAUGUGCCAGGACACAGGAGGCACAAAUAUGAGCAACAAGAAAGACGGGCCCUGCCCUCACAGAGUUUACAAUCUAAUGGGGAAGACAACACACCAAAAGGAUCUGGAAAGAUGAAAGGAGAAGGAAAGAUGGCUGGUCCCGGUUCCAAUGGAUGAUGUGACAGUCUGGGAAGACAGCAGAGGAGGAGGCCAUGGGAGCUGAGGCAUUCCCCAGGCAGCUGUGUCAUGGUGUCUGGAGCAUCAGCAGCAGAGCUGGAAGAGGAAAUGGGUGAGAAAUAAGGAAGUGAAUGGGAGUUUGAGAUGCCUUAGACCAAGGUGACUGAAAUCAUUUCGUUAUCUGUCAUCUCUCCAGCAACGUCGGUAACUCUUGGAGAGAAGUCCUCCAUGCCGUAAGGCUGAACACAGUAUUCUCUGAUGGGCAGAACUGGGGCUGUAUGCUGCAGACUGGAAAGGACCAGUCAUCUGGUCGGGCUUUUUUUUGUUUUGUUUUCAGCAGACUGUCUGCACUAUGAUGUGGCAGUCAAAAAAGUUGGGAGCCUUGCCAGGUGUUGUGCUAAGAUUACACAAAAGGGGCAAAGGACAGUCGCAGCCUGCAGGGAGCUUGUAGUCUAAUGAGAGAAACAAGCAAACACAGGUGUAUGGGAUAAAAGGGAAAAGAGGAAGAGGGAAGGGGUUAGAAUUAAGAGGGGUCCAGAAAAGUUUCCUGUGGAAGGUGAGAUUUUAGUUGGGACUUAAAGGAGGCCGGUAGGUAGAGGUGAGAAAAGCCAAAGAAAAUGCCCAAGAGACAGUAUCUUGUUUUUGGAGCAGCCAAAAGGCCAGGAUCACAGCAUCCUGGUGGGAAGUGAGGCAUAAGACUGUGGAAAGAUUCAUCUAGUCCCACCAUAGGCUUGAUAAGGUGAUGGCCAUGUUGAUGGAUAGACCUUGGCAAUAACAGACUGGGUAUGAGGGAGGUGGGAGAGGGAAGAGUUGAGAAUGAGAUCUAAGCGGCAAUCCGGGUGAUGGGAAGGGUGGGAGUACCCCUACCAUAACAGGGAGGGUUUGGGGGGAAAGAUAAUGUUGAUUUUAAGACAUGUAUGACAUCCAGUUUGAGAUGUCUGUUAGGCAGUUGGAGACAGAAGCAAAAGAGGUUGGGUUUGUUAUCUACUUUUCAAUGCCAAAGUUUAUUGCCCUAUUUACAGAGAAGCGUGCACCCUAAAUUUUUCACGAUUCAGGAAAUCUGUCUUUUUAAAAGCUCUUUAUCUCUCCCUCAGACUUGGGGAUCAUCAUUGGUAAUCCAUUCCAACUGGAGAGAAAUGAGUCCUUAGUUCUUAAAAGAAGGUGAAUCAAAUUUGGGGGCUAAGAGAAGACCCUCAAGAUCCGGGGGCCCAUUUCGUAAUUGCACACAGGAUAUAAAGAGAGUGGCAGUACAGUAUAGUAGAGAGAGAGAACACCAGAUUUGGAGGCUGGAAGAACUGGUUUCCUGUGUGACCCUGGGCAGUCUACAGAACUGCUCUGGGCCACGGUUUCCUCCUAGGUAAAAUGUUGAACUGAAUGGCCUCUGAAUCGAUGCCCUUGGGAUCUUUUAACUAGAUACCAGUCCAGAACUAAGUCUAGGUUCUAAGCGUCCUCUGCUGACCUCGGUGUCAGUAAAGUGAAGGGACUUGGACUUCUUUUUUCUCUUGAGUUCUAAAUCAGGUCUUUAUGGCCCUGUCCACUUGCAGGUCUGGGAUGCCAUUAGUUUUCUGUGAGCCUCAGUUUCCUCCUCCGUUAAAUGAGGGACCCUUGAGGUCCCUGCCAGCUCUCUUUGAAGCUCACGGAUGGCUUUUAUGCUAAUUUCCUGAUAGACUUUCAGGAAGCUCCAUGAGUUACCCAUGCCCUGUCCCUCUUGACGUCAUGUAUGUAGAUUGUGCCCUUCAAAGCUAUUUUUUUUUUUAAAUCCUGACUCAUUUGAAAGCAGACUGAAUCUGUGCCUCUAACCCUCCCUUUUAAAGAGUUAAAGCUUUAGCUAAUCCAGUCUUAAUUCUCCCCAUAUGGCUGGGCCUGGCAGCAGAGGAAAGAGUUGGCUGACAAUUCAAGCCUGAACAGUGGCUAAGAUAAAUAUGGGGGCCAUCUGUGCAGCUAGGAAAAAAAAAUUCAUGUGAGGAACAGACAGACCCUGCUAAGUUAAACAUAUUUCCGAGACUCUGCUGGGGGAAAAAGGAGGGGCCCAGUGGGUUGGGGUAGGGAGGAGGAGGAGGCUUGCGGAGCCGCCAGAAAAGAGGCAAAGUUGGCUGUCUCACAGGCAAGGGGGUCCGUUCCGAAAAUUCUGGCAAAUUGAAUGAUCAGACCUGGAGAUGGGGAAGGGAGCUAGGGAGACAGUGAUGUACCCAGGCGUUCCCACGGCAACCCGCCCCACCGCUGCCGUGAUGCUCAGAACGCUGCAGUCUGGGUUUGUAUAAAGGGCUGGAAAAUCAGCUCGUGCGGGCUGUGAACAUUUCUCCCAAGCAGGGGCUGAGCUGGCCCAGGCAGGUCUGGGAAGCUACAACCUUGAAGGACUUCCUCCUGGCUCAAGACAGCGGCUGGCUGGCAGAGGAGGGGCUUGGAGCUGGCUCCUGAGACUAGAGAAAAGGGGGUUUCGCAGUCCUGGGUGCCUGGAGUAGGGGCUUGGUCAGCGCUGGUCAGGCAGGGUGGGUUGAACGGCAGAGCCAGCCAGCAGCGCGGAAAGUGAGCUUCACGGCUUCAGAGACUGGACUGCCAGAGCCGUACCUUAAAAUAUACAGCACCCAAGGGGGCCCUCAACCCAGCGGGAGCCGAAAGCUUCAUAUUCUUUUGGCACAAAGACAGACCAGCUGGAGAAAUCAAGAGCAGGACUGAGUCUGAGAGGGGACCUCCAGCAAGCAUCCAGACUGCUCCCUGGCAAAGCCGGGCCAGACCGGCCCCAGGCGCCGGUGGGCAACCGGGUCUGGGAUAUUGGGGAGCAGCGCUGUCCUGAUGCCAUCCGGACCGGAGGGCUUUUAGCAGGCGGGAUCCAUUGGCCAGCCCCCCAGUCUCGGGGCUCUCCUGGCUUUCACUCCCAGCCCCAUCCAGGAGCAUGAGUUCAGUUCUGACAAAAUAUGGAUCUCCACCACGCAGUUGGCUCAAUCUUCGCUUGGGAACCAAUGACCGCGGUCUAACGGAGGAGAAAGGACUUCGGUGCCAGAAUCCAGAUUGUAUUGACAAGAAGAGGGCAUCCAAGGUAACUGAACGCUUGGGGCCCGGGGCGGCUCCAGCCUGGGUCAUGGGGCCAGGGGCCGGGGAGGGCUGGGACUUCGGCUCGAGCCACAGAGUGAAUGCACCGAGGCGGCCCAACCUGGGAGAGAGCCUCCAAGGGCGGUGCAACAAAGUCUCCCUGGGCCCAUCCCAGCCACCCCUGCGGAAGGGCAGCUUUUCUGGACCGGGCAGAGAAGUCUUGGGGUCAGGCGCCAGAAGAACCUCUGGUUUGAGAGGGAGCCCUUAGGAGCCUGACUCCUGAGCCCUGGCUGAUCUUGGCUCCCUGCUCUAAUCCUGUUCAACACUUGGUAACAGUAAUUCCACUGCCAGUCCUGCAAAACUCCCUGCAACGGGAGCUUUAAAACAUCCCCCUUUGACACACUGGGACCUCCACAUAAAAUGUGCCCUUCCCUUAAGGAGCUCAUUCAUUCAUCCCUCCUUUCCAGGUGGGUCAUGGGUAUUACGUGGGAGCGUUACAAUUUUGGCCCUUUUCUAUGACGGACAAGUUAUGGGAGGCCCAGGGAAUCUGGAUCCAGGGAAUUCUGGUCCUGCCUCUGGCUCUGCAAAGACUCUGCCAAAGGGGGCUGGUGGGGCCAGUCCUGACUAAGUGGGGACACCGACCUUUCCGGCUUCCGAAGCUCAGACCAAGGCUUCUUCUGAAUCAUUUAUUGUUCUGAUGGAAGCCCUGAAUUCAGAGCCUGCCAUUGACACCACCUGGGGGAUCUUGGUCAUGGAGGCUUUCUGCGCCUGCGUUCCCUUGGAUGCAAAAUAGAGAUAAUGAUAUUUGUACUACUGCUGGCCCUGGUGAAGCCCUCAGAGAAUAUAUCAGUCAAUUCAAAUCUAUUCAAAACGUUUGUUAAGCCGGGCACUGGGCUAAGUGCUAGGGAUACAAAAAGGCAGAAGUGGUUCCUGCCCUCAGGGAGCUUACUAUCUAAUGGAGGAGAUAAUAUGUACCAAGAUAAAUAGGAAAUAAUUAAGAGAAGGAACGCACUUGAAUUAGGAAGGAUGGGGGAGGGCUUUCUGUCCGAGGUGGGGUCGUGGUUGGCUCUUAAAGAGAGCCGGGAAGGGGAAGAGUCUUUCUGGCCUGGGGAGGAGGGCUUAGGUUUUGAAGGGCUCUGUAUCCCAGAAUAUUUAGUACUUGCUCCUAGAGGAAAUCAGGAGCCAUUGAAGGUUAUUGAGUAGGUGGAGGGACAUAGCAUGAUGGAUGUAUAUUUUUAUAUGUGUGUGUAUUUA
Sarcophilus harrisii (Tasmanian devil) is the source of this 5123-nucleotide RNA transcript. RefSeq lists it as uncharacterized. The record is from RefSeq and is a predicted model, not a curated record. The transcript is spliced from 2 exons. Lineage: Eukaryota; Metazoa; Chordata; Mammalia; Dasyuromorphia; Dasyuridae.